AGAGUUUGAUCCUGGCUCAGGACGAACGCUCGCGGCGUGCCUAAGAAAUGCAAGUCGAGCGGGGACCAGCGCUGUCCAAAGCUUCGGCAGCGGACUUGCUGGUUCUAGCGGCGAGCGGUCGCGUAACACGUAAGCAACCUGCCCCAAAGAUUGGGAUAACCCGCCGAAAGGCGGACUAAUACCGGAUGUGGCCCGUCUGGCACAUGCCAGAUUGGUUAAAGGAGCAAUCCGCUUUGGGAUGGGCUUGCGGCCUAUCAGCUAGUUGGUGAGGUAACGGCCCACCAAGGCGACGACGGGUAGCUGGCCUGAGAGGGUGGCCAGCCGGAUUGGGACUGAGAUACGGCCCAGACUCCUACGGGAGGCAGCAGUGGGGAAUAUUGGACAAUGGGCGCAAGCCUGAUCCAGCCAUGCCGCGUGAGUGAUGAAGGCCUUAGGGUUGUAAAGCUCUUUCACCGAUGAAGAUAAUGACGGUAGUCGGAGAAGAAGCCCCGGCUAACUUCGUGCCAGCAGCCGCGGUAAUACGAAGGGGGCUAGCGUUGUUCGGAAUUACUGGGCGUAAAGCGCACGUAGGCGGAUAUUUAAGUCAGGGGUGAAAUCCCAGAGCUCAACUCUGGAACUGCCUUUGAUACUGGGUAUCUUGAGUAUGGAAGAGGUAAGUGGAAUUGCGAGUGUAGAGGUGAAAUUCGUAGAUAUUCGCAGGAACACCAGUGGCGAAGGCGGCUUACUGGUCCAUUACUGACGCUGAGGUGCGAAAGCGUGGGGAGCAAACAGGAUUAGAUACCCUGGUAGUCCACGCCGUA
RNAcentral lists this ribosomal RNA (800 nucleotides) under uncultured bacterium. RNAcentral describes it as "bacterial SSU rRNA". It matches the Rfam family "Bacterial small subunit ribosomal RNA", at positions 8 to 804 of the family's 1533-position model. The record is from RNAcentral.